Piliocolobus tephrosceles (Ugandan red Colobus) is the source of this 477-nucleotide long non-coding RNA. RefSeq lists it as uncharacterized. The transcript has 2 exons. NCBI's taxonomy places the organism in Eukaryota, Metazoa, Chordata, Mammalia, Primates, Cercopithecidae. The record is from RefSeq and is a predicted model, not a curated record.
UUAUUAUUGAUAAUAAUUAAAAAAAAGAAGAAAAGGAAAGAAAAAAAUGAAAUUAAAACAUACCCUUUGAUUUUAAAUAUUUAAAUAAUCACAUUUAGAUUAAAUUAAGGGAAUAAUUUCAAAGAAAUUGAAAAUUAUAUAGUUUGUAUUAAAAACAAUAUGUCAAAGUAAAAUGACAAAGUAAAAUCGUCAAAAUAUGUCAGUUUCAUUGGCAACAAUGUGACGAAGUUAAAAUCGUAAAAAAGUGUCACUUUCAUUGGCAACAAUGUGAUGAGGUUAAAAUCGUAAAAAAGUGUCACUUUCAUUGGCAACAAUGUAACAUAGUAAAAAAGUAAAAAAAGAAAUAUGUCGGUAGUUUUUUUUUGAUUAUGGUUUAAAAUAAUCAAUAAUAACAUGAUAGAAGGACAUAAAUGAACAAUUUAGUAACAUACCUUUGUCGCUGAACUGUAUUUAUAAGGGCUUAAGAAAAAAAAAAAA